RNAcentral lists this long non-coding RNA (528 nucleotides) under Monodelphis domestica (gray short-tailed opossum). RNAcentral describes it as "lncRNA (ENSMODG00000037443.1)". The record is from RNAcentral. Lineage: Eukaryota; Metazoa; Chordata; Mammalia; Didelphimorphia; Didelphidae.
CUCACCUGGGACGAGAACAAGAUGGGGUAUUUAACCUGAUUGCAAAGGCUUUUGUGCCUCUUUUCUUCCCUGUUUUCCCCUUGCAAGCAGAUGUGGCUCUUUUGAUAAUUUCUCAGGCAUCACAUUCCUAGACUUCUGCUGGUCAGUAAUCUCACCUGCUAUGCUGGCUCUAUGGUGCCCUACUUAAGGAGGUUCAGUGAUCUCCAGUUUAUCCUUUUAUUGAAAAAGGGAGGGUUUGCUUUCUCUGUCAAAGUAACAGCCCAUCAUACCAUGUCAUUGAUUUUCUGACAUACCAAUCUUUCAACCACUAGUGGUAACUUAGAGCAUCUAACACCCCUGUCAUUGGAGUCUUCCUCAUAAAACGGAUAUGAAAAUCACUGUGUUGCUCAAGAAAUCACAUUAUUUUUACAGUGCAGAAGAAUUGCUAAGCUUUUGCCUCCCUUUUUUUUUUGAUUAAUUUCAUGCCUGACUCAGUCAGAGAUUAGGCCUUGACACAGGUUAUAAUUAAAUAUUGAAAUCAUGAAGUGC